Molecule: small nucleolar RNA, 268 nt
Filed under: Fusarium oxysporum f. sp. lycopersici 4287
Lineage: Eukaryota; Fungi; Ascomycota; Sordariomycetes; Hypocreales; Nectriaceae
Description: Fusarium oxysporum f. sp. lycopersici small nucleolar RNA U3
Rfam family: Fungal small nucleolar RNA U3
About the family: Small nucleolar RNAs (snoRNAs) are involved in the processing and modification of rRNA in the nucleolus. There are two main classes of snoRNAs: the box C/D class, and the box H/ACA class.
Source: RNAcentral
ACAACGCCUCCAGGAGAAUCAUUUCUAUAGUAUUCGACCUUCUCUUGGUUCCCUAAAAGAGCCACAGAUCCCACCCUGGUUGAUGAAUGUAUAUCCUCGACACCCUAGAGUGAAUACCCUCUUGGUCCUCUCGCUCUGUCCGCAAGGAUGGCGGUGGUUGCCUCGUGCAGCUGCUGUAUAGAGAUGGUUUGCUUGAUGAUCUCGACCCCAGCUGUGGUCUUGCCUUCGGGCGCGUGGCUGGGGUGGGUGUUGAUGGACGUCUGACAGG